Molecule: long non-coding RNA, 1753 nt
Organism: Falco peregrinus (peregrine falcon)
Lineage: Eukaryota; Metazoa; Chordata; Aves; Falconiformes; Falconidae
Exons: 4
Source: RefSeq, a predicted model, not a curated record
UCCACCCACGGGACCAGGUUGAAACCUCUAGACUUGAAAUCCAUCCAAGACGGUGACAGAUCUGCAUGACUAACUGGAGAGUAUCAUCUUGCAAUAAUGUGCCUUUUGUUGCUGAACCCUUUCCAAUCACGAGCUGGUAUUCAGAGAGCAGUACUAGUCUGACCUUCAUAACGAGGAAUGGCUUCUUGUAUUAGCAGUGUUCAGAGAGGACCGAUUCUAUCUGAAAUCUACUCAUUUAGUGGAACAACUAUGGAAGCAGCAUGCCUGGAGAGUUACAGCCAUGAAAUAAUUAUCUACCUCACCAGGUACAAAAGGCAUUGAGUAGGGAGGGAUGCUGUGAUUCCCCUGAGGAGCGGGUCGGAGGGAAGCUGGCAAGGGAGAACACUUAGCUGCUGCUGCGCUCUCUCCCAAUAUGCAUCGUCCCAAGAAAGUCUAGAGGAUGUAAAGGAAAACAUUCUGCUGCUGCUUCUGGUGAAAUCACAGGCAACUGCAUCUCUAGGUGAACUUCACAGCCUCAAGAAGAGAGUUAUUACUCAAUACACCUCGAACGGUAAGGAUACCAUUUUAUUAGAUGGACAUACCACAAGACACACUACUCCUCUCUUAUUUUACACCUCUGUUAGCAAUCAAAUGUGUGUUGCUCACAAAGGAAAAGCAGCACCUGUGCUGCAAUAUGCUUUUAAAGCAACACUGUGACCUUGUUAAUUUCAUACUUGCUUUGUAACGGUUCUGUUUAGGAAGCCUUAAUUUAAGUAGCUCCAAACCUCCAGGCCUCCUGUGAUCUUUUCUAUUGUACCUCCUUCCAUGUUCUGAUAUAUGUAAAGCUUAGAUCUUACUGGAUCUUACCUGAUCAUCCCUUUCCAAGUUAUUUCCACGCCCACCAGACAGCAUCCUACCUUUUCUGCAGCCAGCAAAGACCCAACAAGACAAGCGACAGACAGUUUCACCAAUGAAAAUACCACAGCUGGUAGCAUAACAAUAAAACAAAAUAUUCAGGAGGGAGAAGAAAAAAUAAUCACAUGCACCACAUAAAUCAGACAGAGGAGAGGAAAGAUCAUUACAUUUCAUGAAGUUCAGAUUGUUGGAUUGGAAACAAAACAAAACAAAAAAAAAAAACCCAAAAAAAAUAUCCCAAAACACAUCAGCAAAGGACAAAUUCAUCCCUCUUUGGCAGUUUUCUCUAUGACAUAGCAGGCUAUAUGCAAUGGGAGUGAGUAUUUUGUCAGCUAACUGUAUACAGAUACUGGUAUUCCCCAAGGAGCUAAAACCAGGACUGCCUGACUGGGGACUCAGUGGGACAACAUCCUUCUCUCAAUACCUCCUUAGCCCCUGCACGUGAAUUUGCUUUGUCACAACAUUCAUAAACAGAAAUCCCAGCCAAUUACCCUUUUUUUGUGAGGACAUAUCUUUUUGAGAAAAUAGAUAUGAGUGUGCUUUAGCUCUACGUGUGUUUCAGGGAAGCCUGUUAGCAGUCAGUCUAACAGAAAACCUGUGAAUAAUAACAAUUCUUGAGGAAUACUAAGACCAAAACAUAUAUCACAAACUGUGUACACUACCAACUGAGUUCAAAGUCUUGAAUACUCACAUUUAGAAAAAGUACAGUACAGCCAAGAGAUUAUCCUCAGAUUGUGUUUCUGUACAAGCCAUUAUUUUUACAGCAGAAUUGACUGAGUACUGAAAAAAUAAGUGGAAAGGCUCAGGCAAGUUCAGCUAGAGAAGGUGGUGUUAUUAUUAAAAGGAACUUCUUUAUCAA